This is a long non-coding RNA of Diorhabda carinulata, 585 nucleotides long. RefSeq lists it as uncharacterized. Lineage: Eukaryota; Metazoa; Arthropoda; Insecta; Coleoptera; Chrysomelidae. The record is from RefSeq and is a predicted model, not a curated record. The transcript has 2 exons.
UUCAGUGAAAGACUUUAAAACAAUUAUAAUGAAAUAUGUGAUAUGACAGACCAAUGUUUAUAUAUUCAAGGAGAAUACUUUUGCAAUAUUCUGCUUUAUUAUUAAGGAACUUACCCCAUAUACCAGGAUCAUCAAAGCAUGAAUGGUGAUUUGAAACUGUUAUCAAAGGUACUUGUUUAGGCCUAUUAUCUAAUAAAUCGCUUAUAACAUGCCUAUUGUGAACUUUAGCUCGAUUAAAGAGAUCUACAAAAAUACGCAUCAUAAAAAUAUUCCUCCAAUGAGGCAAUUAUGUACUAUUACGGAUUAAAAUUUUGCUAAAUAGACCCACAGCACAUACGGUAACAGCACUAGCAAUUUUCCAAAUUGUGGUAGGACUCCUUAAUCUAGGAAUGAUCCAAUCCAAGUUGUAUGCCAUUAUGACACCCUUAAGCUGCCUAUUUUUUGAAACUUGGAUAUUCCAAUUAUUCCACAAUUAUUUAAUAUCCUUGUUUUUCAGUGAUCUUAGGUUUAACAUGUUCACUUAUUUGAAAAUAUAUUAAUUACAUAACAGGAAUAAAAUUUUAAUAGACAAUAUGUGAAAAUAAA